Molecule: ribosomal RNA, 253 nt
Filed under: uncultured bacterium
Lineage: Bacteria
Description: partial 16S ribosomal RNA
Rfam family: Bacterial small subunit ribosomal RNA
Source: RNAcentral
UACGAAGGGGGCUAGCGUUGCUCGGAAUCACUGGGCGUAAAGCGCACGUAGGCGGACUCUUAAGUCAGGGGUGAAAUCCUGGAGCUCAACUCCAGAACUGCCUUUGAUACUGGGAGUCUUGAGUUCGGGAGAGGUGAGUGGAACUGCGAGUGUAGAGGUGAAAUUCGUAGAUAUUCGCAAGAACACCAGUGGCGAAGGCGGCAUCCUGGACCGACAUUGACGCUGAGGAGCGAAAGCUAGGGGAGCAAACGGG